GCCGCGGGUUCCAACCCUGCAGAAGGAACGGGGCGGAGCGGGCUCCGCUUGUUCCCACACGCACAGCUUCCCCUUUCCCUGUUUUAAUCUUCUUAAUGCUUAAAGUAGCAAGAGUGGUUUCUUUUUCCUGCAGAUGGACCCUCCUUUAUACAGGUAGGGAGAGAAGAGGGCGCCCAGGAUAGCGUCCAGAGGAACACCAGCACUUACUGUAGGCAGGGAGGAGGAGGAUCCAGAAGAGAGAUCGGAGAAGGAGCAUCUAAGAGGAGGGGAGAACCCAGGGAAGUUUCAAGCACACCAUGGUUAACAACGUCAUUCUCGACUGCUGCCAGGAAGCAGAGCACCGGCUCCGGACGCGCAAGCUCCGCUCACAGGCCCAGCCGCUCCGUGGCGGCAUAUGGGAUCCUCCCGGACCGGGAGCACGAACCCAUGUCCCCUGCAUCGGCAGGCGGACUCCCAACCACUGCGCCACCAGGGAAGCCCUGUUGACCACUUCAGUAUGUCCCCCUAAACAGUCUACUGCUCAGUCUGCUCGUACUUGAGCUUGACGAAAUGGCAUCGUCCUGCUCGUAGUCCUACGCAGGGGACGCGGGUAGCAUCGUGCCAUCCUUGCUAGUCUGGUGGUGAGCCUUCCGCGACCCCUGGUUUCACUCUCCCCUUGGCAGAUGUCAGUGCUCCCUACCAUCCCUGUUUGCCGGGAGGCUUUUCAUGACCUACGAACGCAAGAUGUCUCAGGGGCCGUGGCAGACGGCACCGUCGCUCACAGUGAUUCAGUCUCCCCCUUCCCUUAGGAGCACCCCUCCUUGCCCGUUGCCAGGCAGGAGACACACUGGAAGAGACAGGUUCCAGGGCACCCCACCGUAGCUGGGAUCCGGGGAUCAGGAGAUCACCAGGGGCCCUGUGGGAGUGUUACAACACCCGCACAGCAAGUGACUAGGCACUGGAACAUUGCUGCUGAAACACUGAACUCCAUACUGUGCUGGGUGUGAGACAGGUGAAGGGGUGGGAAGGGCGCCACCGCCUCACCCCUGCAUCCCACAUCAUCUGAAGUGUGUCCCCAGGCAAGGUGGAGUCCACACCCUGAGCCUGCUCACCCAGACCACCGCUCAGCCCUCCCAGGCUUGCCUUCCCCCCACACUCCUUGCCCCCCACCCCUACGCUGGCCAAAAAAAGAAAAGUUGCAAAAUCCAGGUGUACAGCGCAAUGACUUAACACAGCAAACACUCCCUUGGCAUCAUCGAAGUCAAGAACUCAAAUGUCUACCUCCCCAAAUCCCCUCAUCCCCCUCCCAUCACUUCCUUCUCCCUUCCACCAAAGUGACCACAAACCUGACUUUUGUGGUAAUCUCUUUGGUUUUUAUAAUUUUACCAAUUGUGUCAGUCCGUCCAGGAUGCUAUGACAAAGUACCACAGACUGUGGCGUUUAUAAACAGCAGAAAUUUAUUGCUCACAGUUCCCGAGGCUGGAAGUCAGAAAUUAGGGUACCAUCAGGGUGGGGGAAGGCCCUCUUCCAGGUUGCAGACUUAUUGUAUCCUCACUGGUGGAAGGGGUGAGGGAACUCUCUGGAGCUUCUUUUAUAAGGGCACUAAUCCCAUCAUGAGGACCUCACCCCCAUGACCUCAUGACCUAAGCACCUCCCACAGGCCCCACCUCCUAAUACCAUUAGGGGAUUAGGUUUCAGUGAAUUUGUGGGGGGACACAAACAUCCAGGCCAUCGCAUGAGAUAAGCAGGCAUCCCUCAAUAUGAGGAUUUUGUUUUGUCUGUUUUCGGACUUUAUAUAAAUGGAAUUAUUCAGUA
Mesoplodon densirostris (Blainville's beaked whale) is the source of this 1794-nucleotide long non-coding RNA. RefSeq lists it as uncharacterized. The record is from RefSeq and is a predicted model, not a curated record. The transcript has 3 exons. NCBI's taxonomy places the organism in Eukaryota, Metazoa, Chordata, Mammalia, Artiodactyla, Ziphiidae.